AGCGUAGACGGCAAGGCAAGUCUGAUGUGAAAACCCCAGGGCUUAACCCUGGGACUGCAUUGGAAACUGUCUGGCUCGAGUGCCGGAGAGGUAAGCGGAAUUCCUAGUGUAGCGGUGAAAUGCGUAGAUAUUAGGAAGAACACCAGUGGCGAAGGCGGCUUACUGGACGGUAACUGACGUUGAGGCUCGAAAGCGUGGGGAGCAAACA
RNAcentral lists this ribosomal RNA (208 nucleotides) under uncultured bacterium. RNAcentral's name for it is "partial 16S ribosomal RNA". It matches the Rfam family "Bacterial small subunit ribosomal RNA", at positions 568 to 774 of the family's 1533-position model. The record is from RNAcentral.